CAGCACAAGCCUAACCAGGGAAUUCGAAGAGCUCAUAAAAUGUUCAUUGGCAUCGUUUAAGAACAAAACUUCUUGCUUCGAGAAACAAUACAAACCGGUUAACAAAAGACUGCUUCUGGAACUUGACGAGAAUUACAACGAAAGUACGAGUGCUGAAGCAGACGCAUACCAAGCGUUCUUUAGGAAUUUCAGCAACUAC
This is a long non-coding RNA of Dermacentor andersoni, 199 nucleotides long. RefSeq lists it as uncharacterized. The record is from RefSeq and is a predicted model, not a curated record. NCBI's taxonomy places the organism in Eukaryota, Metazoa, Arthropoda, Arachnida, Ixodida, Ixodidae.